RNAcentral lists this ribosomal RNA (119 nucleotides) under Pteropus alecto (black flying fox). Lineage: Eukaryota; Metazoa; Chordata; Mammalia; Chiroptera; Pteropodidae. The record is from RNAcentral.
GUCUACGGCCAUGCCACCCUGAACAUGCCCAAUCUCAUCUGAUCUCAGAAGCUAAGCAGGGUCAGACCUGGUUAGUACUUGGAUGGGAGACCACCCAGGAAUACCAGGUGCUGUAGGCG